RNAcentral lists this long non-coding RNA (6542 nucleotides) under Malus domestica (apple). RNAcentral's name for it is "long non-coding RNA (MDOM_LNC013854)". The record is from RNAcentral. Lineage: Eukaryota; Viridiplantae; Streptophyta; Magnoliopsida; Rosales; Rosaceae.
AAUCAGAACAUAACCCAAAAGCUUAUAUACUAAGUAACUUGUGCUACAUAAGCUUAAAUGGCUAGCUUCAGGAAUAUAUGUAAGCACUCCUCUAUAUUCAUUUCAAAAUUAAAAACUUAAUUUGCACACCGAUAUAUUCCAACACCAAAUGACAUGCAUCUCAUUUAGAUUUGCCUCAGUCUACCAUUCUGCACAUUUAUUUUCUUUCUUAGAAAACAAAAAGAACAUACGCAAACAAAGAAAAUGAACCUCAGAAACCAAACAUACAACAACAACAACAACAACAAAGCCUUUUCCCACUAAGUGGGGUCGGCUAUAUGAAUCCUAGAACGCCAUUGCGCUCGGUUUUGUGUCAUGUCCUCCGUUAGAUCCAAGUACUCUAAGUCUUUUCUUAGAGUCUCUUCCAAAGUUGUCCUAGGUCUUCCUCUACCCCUUCGGCACUGAACCUCUGUCCCGUAGUCACAUCUUCGAACCGGAGCGUCAGUCGGCCUUCUUUGCACAUGUUCAAAAUCACCGGAGCCGAUUUUCUCUCAUCUUUCCUACAAUUUCGGCUACUCCUACUUUACCUCGGAUAUCCUCAUUCCCAAUCUUAUCCUUUCUCGUGUGCCCACACAUCCCACGAAGCAUCCUCAUCUCCGCUACACCCAUUUUGUGUACGUGUUGAUGCUUCACCACCCAACAUUCUGUGCCAUACAACAUCGCUAGCCUUAUAUUGCCGUCCUAUAAAAUUUUCCCUUGAGCUUCAGUGGCCUACGACGGUCACACAACACGCCGGAUGCACUCUUUCCAUCCAGCUCGUAUUCUAUGGUUGAGAUCUCCAUCUAAUUCUCCGUUCUCUUGCAAGAUAGAUCCUAGGUAGCGAAAACGAUCGCUUUUUGUGAUCUUCGCUAGAUUGCUCCGGUCAUUAGUGUGGAUAAGUAUAUAAAUGGAUAGAGAUAUAGGAAAGCAAACACAAGAUGUACGUGGUUCACCCAGAUUGGCUACGUCCACGGAAUAGAAGAGUUCUCAUUAAUUGUGAAGGGUUUACACAAGUACAUAGGUUCAAGCUCUCAUUUAGUGAGUACAAGUGAAUGAUUUAGUACAAAUGACAUUAGGAAAUAUUGUGGGAGAAUGAUCUCGUAAUCACGAAACUUCUAAGUAUCGGAGUGUGGUGUCGUCUUGACUUGCCUUAUCUGUCUCAUAGGUAGAUGUGGCAUCUUCUCUGGAAGUACUCUUCCUCCAUCCAGGGGUGGUAUCUUUAACUGGUGGAGAUGCACAAGGUAAUGUAUCAAUUUCACUUGAAGCUUACUUGUAGUUUCAGGCUUGGUCAAGCGCGAUACAAACCAUGUGUAGUAGGAGUCCCCCAAGUCGCCGAGCUAGGGGGUCUGCUGAAAGAGGUGACAGACAAGGUAAGCAAUCAGAGCUCCGACUGAUUGUUCACCUUCUCCCCAUCUUGCAGCAGCAUGAAGGAUAAAGAGAAGAAAAAUGAGAAGAGAUGAUAUGAGAUACUUUUUGCUUUUGAAGAAGUAACUUUCCACAGGCUUAUUCUUGAACUGAGCUGGAGGGUUUUCUGGUUUCCUCCAGAGUAUAAGGCCGACUGAAGAAUUUGAGGGUCAAAACAAGUCCAUCAAAUCUAGAGUACGUUCCACCCUGCUGAUAUGGGAUACUUUUGCUUUUGACAGAGUAAUGAAUGUAUCGGCACGUGUGCUGUUACGCUUGUCUCCACAUGCUUCCUUGUAUCCUUCGCACUUGCCCUAUCUGUUCCUCAAGCAGAUGCGGAAUCUUCCCUGGAAACAUAAGAUGUUGAAGAUGAGUACUCGAGAGCAAUGCCAGGUAAGUAAUCAGGUAAGGGGUUCCAGGCAGUCAGUUCCUGGCUGGAAGCUUGAUUCCAAGUGCUGACUGAUUGCUCUCUUUCUCCUUGUCUUGCAGGUAAAAACAAGGCCAAAAGAAAAGACAGGAAAAAAGCAUGAUAUGGGAUACUCUUGCUUUUAACCCUGAUGAUGAUAUGAGAUAUUCUUGCUCUAGUAUAGCUUGUUUGCAGAGGUAUUAUCGGGGGAAAGAAAGCUGAAUAUUUCGAAAGGCUUCGUUGGGAGUGCCCUCUCAGAUAUGAUGAAGGGUUGAGCAUUUUUGCAGGUCUGCCUGUCCGUUGGGGAUGGAGGUCGACAUAUAUAGGAGUCUCCCUAACAACAAGUAGUAAUGCUAUUCCUUUACCCUGCUUGGUCAUAGCACGGUAGUGGGAGCUGCCAGUUUCACAUGUUUUAACUCUGUCAGAGCACUUUGAAAAAGUGGUCUGUGGUAUCUGGCUCUCGAGAUUCGGAGAACGAUGCCUCUUCGAUUUUUGAGAAAGCAAUCAUGCUGGGGGUAUGACUCUCGAGAUUCGGAGAGCAGUGUCUCUUCGAUUUUUGAGGAAGUAAUCAUGUUGGGAGUCUGGCUCUCGAGAUUCGGAGGGCGGUGCCUCUUCGAUUUUGGAGCAAGCAAUCUUGUUGGGAGUGUUGUCUCGAAUGUGAGUAAAGGUUGGGCAUGUUUGCUAGUCUACCUUGCCACGAAGCACAGAGGUUGACACACAGGGACUUUCCAAUUAUCCAGCAGUGGUACUGUUCCUUUACAGUUGUGGGUAAUAAUAUGGUAGCUAGACCUUCAAAAUUUAUGUGUCUAAACUUUUGUUAGUGCUGUUUCUUUGCUAUUCUUUUACCUUUCUUGGUCAGAGCGAUGUAGUGGGAGCUGCAAGCUUCACGUGCUCAACUUUGGCAGAGAACUUUGGCAAAGUUAUUUGUGGUACCCAUGAGCUAUUGUUGCGUGUGGGAAGUGGGUGAUUGAACAGUAAGAUUCAUGUGCUUUCUACUUCACCAGAAGUCUUCGACAGAAUGCCCAUAAUUUCUGCAAAGCUGAGUGUGCGUGUGACAGGUGUUGACAAGGCUAGAAAAGUAGGGCCUCUUCGAUUUCUGAGAUCGGCCCUCGUGGUCUCUGAGCAGCCCAGCUUUUGAGAAAGCGAGCGCCUCUUCGAUUGAUUCGGAGAACGAUGCCUCAUCGAUUUUUGAGAAAGCAAUCAUGCUGGGGGUCUGGCUCUCGAGAUUCGGGGAGCAGUGUCUCUUCGAUUUUUGAGAAAGUAAUCAUGUUGGGAGUCUGGCUCUCGAGAUUCGGAGGGCGGUGCCUCUUCGAUUUUGGAGCAAGCAAUCUUGUUGGGAGUGUUUUUUCUCGAAUGUGAGUAAAGGUUGGGCAUGUUUGCUAGUCUACCUUGCCACGAAGCACAGAGGUUGACACACAGGAACUUUCCAAUUAUCCAGCAAUGGUACUGUUCCUUUACCCUCUCUUUUAGAAAGUACCCUCUCUUCGAUUUUUAAGAAAGUAGUCAUGUUGGGAGUCUGGCUCUCGAGAUUCGGAGGACGGUGCCUCUUCAAUUUUGGAGCAAGCAAUCUUAUUGGGAGUGUUUUUCUCGAAUGUGAGUAAAGGUUGGGCAUGUUUGCUAGUCUACCUUGCCACGAAGCACAGAGGUUGACACACAGGGACUUUCCAAUUAUCCAGCAGUGGUACUGUUCCUUUACCCUUGUGGGUAAUAAUAUGGUAGCUAGACCUUCAAAAUUUAUGGGUCUAAACUUUGUUAGUGCUGUUUCUUUGCUAUUCUUUUACCCUUCUUGGUCAGAGCGAUGUAGUAGUGGAGCUGCAAGCUUCACGUGCUCAACUUUGGCAGAGAACUUUGGCAAAGUUAUCUGUGGUACCCAUGAGCUAUUGUUGCGUGUGGGAAGUGGGUGAUUGAACAGUAAGAUUCAUGUGUUUUCUACUUCCCCAGAAGUCUUUGACAGAAUGCCCAUAAUUUCCGCAAAACUGAGUGUGCGUGUGACAGGUGCUGACAAGGCUGGAAAAGGCUGGAAAAGUAGGUGCCUCUUCGAUUUCUGAUAUCGGCCCUCGUGGUCUCUGGGGAGCCCAGCUUUUGAGAAAGCGAGCGCCUCUUCGAUUUUUGAGAUCGGCCUUCGUGGUCUUUGAGCAGCCCAACUUUUGAGAAAGCAAACGCCUCUUCGAUUUCUGAGAUCAACCCUCGUGAUCUCUAAGCAGCCCAGCUUUUGAGAAAGCAAACGCCUCUUCGAUUUCUGAGCAGGCGCCUCUUCGAUUUCUGAAGCUUCGUCGAGUGCAGAUUUUUUAUAGGGGCUGGCAUUAAGUUCCAAAGCACACUUGAAUCUCCACCAGUAGAAGCUUCAUUCUUGCACUUCUAAGAUCUUGAUUUGUCCGACCUCUUCUCUCUUCAACACCUUUGAAAAUGUCUGGCCCCUCCGACCGUCGUUUUGACUUGAACCUUGUUGAAGAGGCAGCCCCGCCUUCUCCAGACAACAUAUGGCGCCCAUCCUUCGUCUCCCCUACUGGUCCUCUUACCGUUGGGGAUUCCGUGAUGAAGAAUGAUAUGACCGCUGCGGUGGUGGCCAGGAACCUUCUCACUCCCAAAGAUAACAGACUACUUUCCAAACGGUCUGAUGAGUUAGCUGUUAAAGAUUCGCUGGCUCUCAGUGUUCAGUGUGCAGGUUCUGUGUCUAAUAUGGCCCAACGCCUAUUUGCUCGAACCCGCCAAGUUGAAUCAUUGGCGGCUGAAGUGAUGAGUCUCAAACAGGAGAUUAGAGGGCUCAAGCAUGAGAAUAAACAGUUGCACCGGCUCGCACAUGACUAUGCUACAAACAUGAAGAGGAAGCUUGACCAGAUGAAGGAAACUGAUGGUCAGGUUUUACUUGAUCAUUAGAGAUUUGUGGGUUUGUUCCAAAGGCAUUUAUUGCCUUCGUCUUCUGGGGCUGUACCGCGUAAUGAAGCUCCAAAUGAUCAACCUCUGAUGCCUCCUCCUUCUAGGGUUCUGUCCAGUACUGAGGCUCCAAAUGAUCCCCCUCCGAUGCCUUCUCUUUCUGGGGCUCUACCGACUGCUGAGACUUCUCCUAAGCAACCUUUGUGAAGGCUCCCUCUUGUGUGCUUAUUUUGACUCAUGUAUAUGUACAUAUUUGUAGCUUAUCGGGGAUAUCAAUAAAUAAGCUUUCCUUCAUUUCAACGUAUUGUGUUAAAUACACCAAAGCCUUCUUCGCUAAGUUCUUUGAAUUUUCUUUUGUUAAAGCUUGUAUGUUGAAGCUUUCUGAGUGGAGCAUGUAGGUUGGGGUAGUGUUCUCUUAAUUUCCCGAAUGAGGAAAACUUCUCGGUUGGAGACUUGGAAAAUCCAAGUCACUGAGUGGGAUCGGCUAUAUGAAUCUUAGAACGCCAUUGUGCUCGAUCCUGUGUCAUGUCCUUCGUUAGAUCCAAGUACUCUAAGUCUUUUCUUAGAGUCUCUUCCAAAGUUUUCCUAGGUCUUCCUCUACCCCUUCGGCCCUGCACCUCUGUCCCAUAGUCGCAUCUUCUAAUCGGAACGUCAGUAGGCCUUCUUUGCACAUGUCCAAACCACCGUAACCGAUUUUCUCUCAUCUUUCCUUCAAUUUCGGCUACUCCUACUUUACCCCGGAUAUCCUCAUUCCUAAUCUUUUCCUUUCUCGUGUGCCCACACAUCCAACGAAGCAUCCUCAUCUCCGCUACACCCAUUUUGUGUACGUGUUGAUGUUUCACCGCCCAACAUUCUGUGCCAUACAGCAUCGCCGGCCUUAUUGCCGUCCUAUAAAAUUUUCCCUUGAGCUUCAGUGGCAUACGGCGGUCACACAACACGCCGGAUGCACUCUUCCACUUCAUCCAUCCAGCUUGUAUUCUAUGGUUGAGAUCUCCAUCUAAUUCUCCGUUCUUUUGCAAGAUAGAUCCUAGGUAACGAAAACGGUCGCUCUUUGGUAUUUCUUGAUCUCCGAUCCUCACCCCUAACUCGUUUUGGCCUCCAUUUGCACUGAACUUGCACUCCAUAUAUUCUGUCUUUGAUCGGCUUAGGCGAAGACCUUUAGAUUCCAACAUAAAUUUACCAAAAACAACUCAGCCUUGACUUCAGCCAGAAGGACAAAAUAACAUAUCAAAACAGAAUUUGAAUAUAUCAUUUUCCAAAUUACUUGAGGGUCAUAAUGUUAUUUCUUUUGUUUUUGUCAUUCAUACUUAUUCUGGAUCAAGUUACUCUUCCGCAUUUAGCGCAGUACAAAAUUGGAACCAUCGCAAAUAAGUCCUCUCAUCGUCUCUUUUAUUAAUGCCACACUCACCACACCAGGAGCAAACUCUUUUAUCCCUAAUUCUUACGACUGCCAAUCCAUCUUAAACAUAUAUGCCUUGCACAACAUUCCAUAUAAUAGGGUCCACAAAACUUGCCCUACCAAGUUUUAUAUAGGGAGGUGAUUUCCACACACCCUUUUUAGCGGGUUCAUAAAACUUGCCCUAUUUUCCUUUACAUAUACCUCUACUCAUGAACUGUAAUCUAACUCACUCCUGGGCAACAACCUGGUCCCUAUCCCAGUUUGACUAAACCUGCAUUCUAUUUUGAUCAGCUUUAGUCCUGUACAUUGUGGUGCCACUUUUAGCAAACAUGUUCCCGCGAAAGUACUUUAUGAUUAGUAAGCCUUUGUCUUUCAUGGAAAAUAGACUCUUUCUUUAGAUAAACCGAGAAUACAUAUUAAGUGCCCUUCUAACAUGUAUCUACA